AACGAACGCUGGCGGCAUGCCUAACACAUGCAAGUCGAACGAGACCUUCGGGUCUAGUGGCGCACGGGUGCGUAACGCGGGGGAACCUGCCCUUAGGUUCGGAAUAACUCCCCGAAAGGGGUGCUAAUACCGGAUAAUGUCUUCGGACCAAAGAUUUAUCGCCUUUGGAUGGGCCCGCGUUGGAUUAGCUAGUUGGUAGGGUAAAAGCCUACCAAGGCGACGAUCCAUAGCUGGUCUGAGAGGAGGAUCAGCCACACUGGGACUGAGACACGGCCCAGACUCCUACGGGAGGCAGCAGUGGGGAAUAUUGGACAAUGGGCGAAAGCCUGAUCCAGCAAUGCCGCGUGAGUGAUGAAGGCCUUAGGGUUGUAAAGCUCUUUUACCCGGGAUGAUAAUGACAGUACCGGGAGAAUAAGCUCCGGCUAACUCCGUG
RNAcentral lists this ribosomal RNA (433 nucleotides) under uncultured bacterium. RNAcentral's name for it is "partial 16S ribosomal RNA". It matches the Rfam family "Bacterial small subunit ribosomal RNA", at positions 29 to 507 of the family's 1533-position model. The record is from RNAcentral.